This 2293-nucleotide long non-coding RNA is filed under the name Marmota monax (woodchuck). Lineage: Eukaryota; Metazoa; Chordata; Mammalia; Rodentia; Sciuridae. The record is from RNAcentral.
AAUCUUUCAUUUUUGUCUUACAACCUAGGGGUUGUGGAGCCUCCUUGUUACCACCUUUUAGGAGAAAUAAUGUAAGUGCUUUAAGGUGGGAGAAUUUCCUACUUGUAUGACUAUGGAUGUUGUAACUGAUAAGAUCUUGGCCUACAUGAAGGAAAAAGUUUAGCAAAGGGUAAAUGAGAGCAACAGCAAAUAGAAGAAAGUUACACAUAAGGAAUUUCUAGGGCUCGAGAAAUUACAGUAAAUAUUAGAUUCAUAUUUGCAGUGCUGGUGGAUGGGUGGGGAUAAUGUCUGUUAACAUUUGUUUUAACUCUUGCCAGAGAAGACUUGGCAUGUGACAGGAUGUUGGACAAUUGUUCAGAAACUGUCUGAUUUGACCUCUCAUUAAUUGGCCCUGAAACCAUCCUCAACUAGUGUUUUCCUCACUACAGUGAAAGGUCAGAGUCAGGAGUGGCUGUUUUGGAAAGCUGACUGUGGCAGACUUAGGCAAGGUAGAUAUGGAGGUCACCAUCCCCAAUUCCUUUGUUCUUGCUUGAGAGGACUACAGGCAAGACAAUGCACUUACUAAAAUAAUGGAAAAGUUUACCAAAAUGGAUAGAAAAUAGGGAAAGAGGACACUCUCAAUGGAGACAGUCCUUAGAAAGGAGAAGGGUAGUGUACCCCUCCUCUACUCUCAUUUUAUUGGGAAUCUCACAGAUAUUUUUAGAGGUCCAUCUGAGGCAACCUGUUGAAUUGAUUGUAAGCAAAGUGACAUCAGACUUUGAAAUUCUGUCUGUGCAUGCUAAAUGUCCAAAGCAACUCCAGGGUAACUUUAGCCCCAUGCUGACCAGUCCUAACUGGAACUUGUUUUUACAGAUAUUGUGGUUAAGGGUAUUAUCCUAUUUCCCUGAGUUCUGGAUUCUAAUCUGUUUAAGGGUCAAAAAUCCCCCCUUUCAAGGUAACAUAUAUUCUUAUGAGCAUUUUGGGCCUGCAUUUCUACUGCAGAUAAUAGGUUGUUUGUUGAGAAUGUAAGAUAUCCUAAUGGCUAAAGCCAGGCAGGACUGAAGGUAAAUUACUUUUUAAAUGAAGGUGGGUGUCAACACAAUGGGCCCAAUUAAUAGAAUUAUUUCCUUAACCACACGUGCCCGUCAAUUUUCUCUGUCACCUAGGAGCAGGAGCAUUUUUAUAUUCAUGUUUACCUCCUUGAGUAUUGUUGGGCUCUGAAUUUGCCUAUUCCAGUUGUGUCCAUCUCCCUUUCUUACCUUUGCACAUGACUUUUCUUUCUGGCUCCAAAAGGUAUUUGAUACUUAUACAACUCAUAAUCAUUCCUUACAGUUCAAAAUUUUUUGAAAUCUAUACAGGGCUGUGUUUGACUUUCUCAGAUCACUUGUUAAUCUACUAAUAUCUUCUACACUUUGCUCAUCCAAAAAAUAAAAAAAAAAAAAAAAUUGGAGUGCUGGGAUUUGAACCCAGGGCCUCACAUAUGUUCACAAGUUCUAUACCAUUCAACUACAUUUCCACCCCUAAUCCAAAAUUUAGUAGUUUUGAGGCAUCUGUGGAUGAGCACAAUGUGAGCCAUCAAGCACAUCUGCUAGUUACAGUAGGGAGCAAGUGUGCCCAACCAUCUACCUGUUUCACUUGAUUUUAUAGGAAUAAGGGAUCUGGAUUUUGAAUUAUCCUUUGCCAAAACUGGCUUCUUUCUUUUAAUACCAGGGUAUUUCAAUUUUUAUUUCAUUUCUUGAAAAGGAGAAUGGUUUCUGUAAGAAAAGAGGUGUUUCAGGAACUUUACAUGUUCACUGUUAUUUUCAUAUGAUUGCAUGCUGAUUAUGUUUUCUGACUGAUGUACACUAGAUGGAGUUUAAACAUCAACUUACAUAUUUAUAAAGGGAUUAUGUGUGUACAUGGCUAGCAUAUUGCUGAGGGAUUUUCCAGUUUUCUUGCCACAUUGCCUCAUUUGUAUAGAAAUGCCUCUUAAUCUUAGCAUGGCAGAUACAUACCAGAGGAAAUCUUAAGUAGCCUGUCACCCAUGGACCCACACACUGAUCCAUCCACCUUUUUCAUGAGCCAUGUGUUUUUCAACUAUUAUUGAAUAAAACCCAGUCUUUUGCACUCAAGGGGCCUAAGGUGUAUUUCAUUGGUUAUUGGAGACACUGAGUUGGUUAUGUUCCACUUCAGUUCCCUAAAUACAAAACUGGGCUCCAUCUGGGAUCUAUAUCUAGUACCACAUGUAGCUUAAGGAAAUUUCUCUUUUUGUUUAAGGAAUUAAUAGUUUGCAAUAAUAACAUCAUUUUGUAGUAAUUUGUACCUGCAACUGGAA